This 427-nucleotide ribosomal RNA is filed under the name uncultured bacterium. Its description in RNAcentral is "bacterial SSU rRNA". It matches the Rfam family "Bacterial small subunit ribosomal RNA", at positions 355 to 774 of the family's 1533-position model. The record is from RNAcentral.
UGGGGAAUUUUGGACAAUGGGCGCAAGCCUGAUCCAGCAAUGCCGCGUGCAGGAUGAAGGCCUUCGGGUUGUAAACUGCUUUUGUACGGAGCGAAAAGGUCUGCCCUAAUACGGUGGGCUCAUGACGGUACCGUAAGAAUAAGCACCGGCUAACUACGUGCCAGCAGCCGCGGUAAUACGUAGGGUGCGAGCGUUAAUCGGAAUUACUGGGCGUAAAGCGUGCGCAGGCGGUUAUAUAAGACAGGUGUGAAAUCCCCGGGCUCAACCUGGGACCUGCAUUCGUGACUGUAUAGCUAGAGUACGGUAGAGGGGGAUGGAAUUCCGCGUGUAGCAGUGAAAUGCGUAGAUAUGCGGAGGAACACCGAUGGCGAAGGCAAUCCCCUGGACCUGUACUGACGCUCAUGCACGAAAGCGUGGGGAGCAAACA